Molecule: ribosomal RNA, 465 nt
Filed under: uncultured bacterium
Lineage: Bacteria
Description: bacterial SSU rRNA
Rfam family: Bacterial small subunit ribosomal RNA
Source: RNAcentral
GGACCCGCACAAGCGGUGGAUUAUGUGGAUUAAUUCGAUGCAACGCGAAAAACCUUACCUACCCUUGACAUGUCCUGAAGGCCCCUGAGAGGGGGCUGUGCCCGAAAGGGAACGGGAACACAGGUGCUGCAUGGCUGUCGUCAGCUCGUGUCGUGAGAUGUUGGGUUAAGUCCCGCAACGAGCGCAACCCUUGUCAUUAGUUGCUACAUUCAGUUGGGCACUCUAAUGAGACUGCCGGUGACAAACCGGAGGAAGGUGGGGAUGACGUCAAGUCCUCAUGGCCCUUAUGGGUAGGGCUUCACACGUAAUACAAUGGCGCGUACAGAGGGUUGCCAAGGAGCGAUCUGGAGCCAAUCCCGAAAAGCGCGUCGUAGUCCGGAUUGCAGUCUGCAACUCGACUGCAUGAAGUCGGAAUCGCUAGUAAUCGCGGAUCAGCAUGUCGCGGUGAAUACGUUCCCGGGUCUU